Molecule: long non-coding RNA, 2087 nt
Filed under: Macaca nemestrina (pig-tailed macaque)
Lineage: Eukaryota; Metazoa; Chordata; Mammalia; Primates; Cercopithecidae
Description: lncRNA (ENSMNEG00000045817.1)
Source: RNAcentral
CGCAGAGGCAUCGGCGGCGGCGGCGGAGACGGAGAGAGGCAGGCAGGCAGGGCGAGGGCGAGAGACGGAGGGAGGGAGCGAGCGAGGCGGACCAGACAGACAGACAGGCGGGCGGGCGGGCAGAGCGAGCCACCCGCCAGGCUGCGCUCAGCCCCGCUCGCAGCGGAGAGAGCAGAAGGCAGGAGGAGGGAGGGGAGGAGGGGGAGGGAGGGAGAGAGGGAAUCCAGCUACCACCACCCAAAGCCAGCGUCUGCUUUCUGUCCUCAUUUCCUUUUCCCACCCAGCUUGGAGAGCAGAGAAAGGCAGAGAGAGCGAGAAAUAGAGACAGUCUGAGAGACAGACAGACAGCCAGAGAGAGCGGGAGGGAGGAGGGCGGAGGAGGAGGAGCAGGAGGACUACGCGGGGCGCGUUCCCUCCCAGGUUUGCAAUUGGGGGGGUGGGGGCGGGGGUGUCCAGGGCUGGGAGAGUGUGUGCGCGGCGGGAGGGCGAGGGGAGCGCAGAGAGCGAAGGAGUGAUCGAGGUGGGGGGGCGCCGCGGGAGCGGGGGGCCGUGUCCAGCGGAGUUAGCGGCGGAGAAUGUGAGCCGAGGCGCGAGCCAUGCUGUCAGCGACGGCGGGCGGCUCAGGGCUCUUCCACGACUCCUCUCCUCAGCAGCCGGGCGCCCGCGUCGCUGCCACCGCCGGAAGACAGACGCCCCCUAAAACCCCUCGCUUGGCUCGGACCCACGGAGCCGGCAGCCCAGCACUCCGAUGGGAGCUUGCCUGAUUGUCAAGCCAUCGGCCUGGACCCCAGAGCCUACCCAGCUGAGCAUGUGCAGAGGGCCCCGAGUGCGGGGCAACGCUCAGGCCAUUACAGAGACCACCCUGGAGAUGCUGAUGAAGACAGGCCUUUCCUGCUGAGCCGGGCCUGUCUGCACAGCCUGCUCAGGCGCUGUCCACGCCCCGAGGCCUGGGCUCAGGCCGAAGUUGCUCCACAGCACCCCCAGCUGACAGCCAGCGACUGGCAGAGCCCCCAGGCACGGGGGCCCUCUCUCUUCCAGGUCAGCCGGGUGUCUGCGCUGGAUGGAGCGCUGAGGGAGCCGGGGGUGGUACCUGGAGGAGGCCGGGCCGGUGGGCAGGGGUUGAGCUGUGGCCACUAGACCAUUUGGGGAAUUCAAAUCUAUUUCCUGUCUUAUUGCCCACAGAGAUCUCCAGUGUGACAGCCCAGGCGGCAGAGCCGAGGGUAAGUGGUGGGGGUUCUCCUGGAGCCCUUUGGGGGUAAGAAGCAGGAAGGCUGUGCCCUUGUUAGAGCUUCCUGGCCUUCUCCUUAAGUUUGAUCACCCUGCUGAUGUGCUUCCCUCUCAGAGGCAGGGGUCCUGUUCUUCCUGAGCACAUAGCCAGAUUUCCAAAGGGGAUGAGCUGUCAAUAAGUGAAGCUGGGCCAGGCAUGGUGGCUCACGCCUGUAAUCCCAGUAAUUUGGGAGGCCAAGGCGAGUGGAUCAUCUGUGGUCAGGAGCUCAAGACCAGCCUGGCCAACAUGGUGAAACCCCGACUCUACUAAAAUACAAAAAUUAGCCAGGCGUGGUGGCGCGUGCCUGUAAUCCCAGGUACUUGGGAGGCUGACACCUAAGAAUCACUUGCACUAGGAGGCAGAGGUUGCAGUGAGCUGAGAUCACACUACUUCACUCUAGCCUGGGUGACAGAGUGAGACUCUCUUUCAAAAAAAAAAAAAAAGUGAAACUGGGGCCCAUGAGGGGCUUGCUGUACAUAUGGUGGUUUGAGAAAGGCUGGGAGUCAGCAAGGGGAUUGGGCUUGGGGUGGGGAUGGGAGCUUGGUAAGGAGAUGAGACCUCAGGAGGGAGGGGUCCAGGAGCUCAUCGAGGAUAUGGGAAGCUGAUGAGGAUGUAGGUGUUCAGUAAGGGACCUCCUGCUCUUCCUGCCUGGCAGGUCCUGGUCCCGGCUUCUCGCACCCUCAUGUCAGCCCCGGCCCCGCCCGGCGGCCUGCGGAGGACAAGGUCAGGAUGCGUGUGAAGCCCCAGGGCCUGGUGGUGACUUCCAGUGCCGUGUGCAGCUCUCCUGACUACCUCCGGGAGCCCAAGUACUACCCCGGCG